Molecule: ribosomal RNA, 468 nt
Filed under: uncultured bacterium
Lineage: Bacteria
Description: partial 16S ribosomal RNA
Rfam family: Bacterial small subunit ribosomal RNA
Source: RNAcentral
GACGAACGCUGGCGGCGUGCUUAACACAUGCAAGUCGAACGGAAAGGCGCGGCUUUUGCGGCGCUCUCGAUUGGCGAAGGCGUGAGAGACACGUGAGUAUCACCCCCCUAACUGUCUGAGAACUUCAGGGAACAGCGGCGAUAACCGGGGAGGAUCUCCUGCUGCGCGUGGGUGAUUGGAAAAAGUCGGCGGUGCGGGCUGGAAUCGCGGGUUAUCAGCUUGUUUGUGUGGUAGUGACUGUCCACGCCUUUGAAGGGUAGCCGGCCUGAGAGGGUGACCAGGCACCUUGGGCCUGCGAUACGCCGCAGUCUGCUACGGGCGGCAGCGGUGGGGAAUCUUGCACAAUGGGCGGAAGUCUGAUGCAGCGACGCCGCGUGCGGGAUGACGGCCUUCGGGUUGUAAACAGCUUUCGACUGUGACGAAGCGUGCGUGACGGUAAUGGGUCAAGAAGCACCGGCUAACUACGUG